Molecule: long non-coding RNA, 409 nt
Filed under: Volvox carteri
Lineage: Eukaryota; Viridiplantae; Chlorophyta; Chlorophyceae; Chlamydomonadales; Volvocaceae
Description: long non-coding RNA (VCAR_LNC002174)
Source: RNAcentral
GGGAAUGCGACGGCAUAUUACUAGACGCAAAUCACCAGCUUUGAGUGAACUGAUGUAUAUUCUGCGGGCACUCGUGUCUGGUUGGUGUGCAAAAAACUCAUUCCGGCUAAAUCCUUACAACUUGCAGUUGAACGACACCUGCAACAAACAAGUCGAUGAAGCUAAUAGUGGUUAUGGAUCAGGAAGAUAUUCGCACAAGGAUUGCUCUGACCAAUACCGGUACCAAUGGGUAAGUUUGGGCCUUUCAGCUCCUACCCAUGGCGCCUGCUGACAUGUUCCAACCUUCAACCGCAGUGGGGAAUCUGGUUCACCUUCUUCUUAACAGUCAUUAUCCUCCUCCUCGAGAUUUUCGGCAAGGCGGAUGCAUGGAGUGUCACAUUACAGGUGUGCAUCGCCAAGUGCAACCUCG